GACCUGAUAGCUCUCUGGCCUGACAAAAGAGAAAAGGUACUAACAGAGAGUUAGGAAGGGGGAGAGGGGUAAAGGUUUACUUUUGAAAAAAGCGAGGAGCUCCCUUCUCUCCAAGAUGAGUAGUUAUACCUUCCAAUAGGUUAAUUUCUUACAGGAGCUUCAUCAAGCGACAGGUAUAGAUAGAUAAAGUAUCUAAUCGAGUGCUUACCAUGUGCCAGGCACUGUGCUAAGCCAUAGGGAUACAAAUACAAGCUUUAAAAAAAAUACAUUCUGUACCCUCAUGGAGCUUAUAUUCUAGUAGUGGAAGACAGCACAGGACAGAGACAGCUGCAAAGGGAAGAAGGAUGUCAGAGAGUGGGGUGUGGGGGAAAGACUGCUAACAAGGAGAUAAUGGAGAACGUGGAGCCAGGUGGUAUGAAGAUUUCUCAGUGUUAAGGAAGAAGACUUGGGAAGUAAUUUUGUAACCCUUUUUUUUGUAGGAAAUUCUUUGCUGAACUCUUCCUUGGGUGGAGGAAGACAUAUUUUAUAUUCACAAAUUAUGAAGUAUUCUGUCUUAUUCUAUAUUCAUCAGGACUUUUCCAGGAGCUGACAAUUAGUUGGCAGAGGAAAUUCACCAAAAGAAAAAACCAUGAGGAAAGCAUGGAAUUUUGAAUAAUCACUUUAGGAACACAGAUCACCACUGACAUGUGGCCUAACAUAUCCAUCAGCCUCCAAGUGUUGAACCUUCUGGCACUGUACUAGGCUGCCAGUCAGAUUACAUUCCCACUACAGAUCAGAAAUUGGUGGCCAGGACUGCACUGGUGCUAUGCUCUGCUAUCUACAGUAAAAGGUUUCAGUUACAGAGCACUUUCUAGCUGUACUGCAUUCAGAGCCUUCAACUGGCAUACAUUUAAUCACCAUAGUUCAACGAACAUCCAAGAGGAGGCCAUUUUGUAUGUCACUCGGUGGCAGGUAUGUCAAGCUGAAAACAGCUUUUCAGAACAUCACGCACACACACAUACACAUGUGCAUGCCCUCACAU
This 1021-nucleotide long non-coding RNA is filed under the name Phascolarctos cinereus (koala). RNAcentral's name for it is "lncRNA (ENSPCIG00000013223.2)". Lineage: Eukaryota; Metazoa; Chordata; Mammalia; Diprotodontia; Phascolarctidae. The record is from RNAcentral.